CACAGAUUCUCCCGGACCCACGUGGAAGCGGCACUCAAGAUGGUAGGAGAAUGAGCUCCUGUUUCGGAGCUGCGCCGCGAGGCCCGCCUGCGCCGCGAGUACCUGUACCGCAAGGCCCGGGAGGAGGCGCAGCGCUCAGCCCAGGAGAGGAAGGAGCGGCUGCGGCGCGCGCUGGAAGAAAACCGCCUGAUUCCCACUGAGAUACGCCGAGAGGCUCUGGCCUUACAGGGGUCCCUGGAGUUUGAUGAUGCCGGAGGUGAAGGUGUGACCAGCCACGUGGAUGAUGAAUACCGAUGGGCAGGAGUCGAGGAUCCCAAGGUUAUGAUCACUACCUCCCGAGACCCCAGUUCCCGCCUCAAGAUGUUUGCAAAGGUACUGGUGAGCAGGGAGUGAGGGAGAGACACCCAGGACACACAGCCCCAGUCCUGACUGUACACUGCCAUCCACGCCCAGGAGCUGAAGCUGGUGUUCCCGGGCGCCCAGCGAAUGAACCGAGGUCGACAUGAAGUGGGGGCACUGGUGCGAGCCUGCAAAGCCAACGGCGUCACCGAUCUGCUGGUCGUUCACGAGCAUCGGGGCACACCUGGUGAGGCCGGAGGGAGGGAGUCGGGGUGGGAGCCGUCUGAGGGCAGACGGGGUCUCUGACAGCCACCUUUCCCUGCCAGUGGGGCUCAUCGUCAGCCACCUGCCCUUUGGUCCUACUGCCUACUUCACGCUGUGCAAUGUGGUCAUGCGGCAUGACAUCCCAGACCUGGGCACCAUGUCGGAGGCCAAGCCCCACCUCAUCACACACGGCUUCUCCUCCCGCCUGGGCAAGCGGGUCUCUGACAUCCUCCGAUACUUAUUUCCCGUGCC
This 855-nucleotide small RNA is filed under the name Pan troglodytes (chimpanzee). RNAcentral describes it as "retained intron". Lineage: Eukaryota; Metazoa; Chordata; Mammalia; Primates; Hominidae. The record is from RNAcentral.